AAUUAACGCUGGCGGCAUGCCUAACACAUGCAAGUCGCACGAGAAAGCCCGGUUCGCCGGGCGAGUAAAGUGGCGCACGGGUGAGUAACGCGUGGGUAAUCUACCUCGGUCUGGGGGAUAACACACCGAAAGGUGUGCUAAUACCGCAUAACCCGGCGGGUCUUGGGACCUGUCGGCAAAGGUGGCCUCUCCUUGGAAGCUAUCGGAUAGAGAUGAGCCCGCGUCCCAUUAGCUAGUUGGUAGGGUAACGGCCUACCAAGGCGACGAUGGGUAGCUGGUCUGAGAGGACGACCAGCCACACUGGAACUGGUACACGGUCCAGACUCCUACGGGUGGCUG
RNAcentral lists this ribosomal RNA (339 nucleotides) under uncultured Pseudomonadota bacterium. RNAcentral describes it as "bacterial SSU rRNA". It matches the Rfam family "Bacterial small subunit ribosomal RNA", at positions 29 to 351 of the family's 1533-position model. The record is from RNAcentral. Lineage: Bacteria; Pseudomonadati; Pseudomonadota.